UACGGGGGGUGCGAGCGUUGUCCGGAAUCACUGGGCGUAAAAGGCGCGUAGGUGGUUUGAUAAGGGUGUGGUGAAAGUCCGGAGCUCAACUCCGGAUCUGCCGUGCCGACUGUCAAACUCGAGGGCUGUAGAGGCAGACGGAAUUCCGGGUGUAGCGGUGGAAUGCGUAGAGAUCCGGAGGAAGACCGGUGGCGAAGGCGGUCUGCUGGGCAGUUUCUGACACUGAGGCGCGACAGCGUGGGGAGCAAACAGGG
This 254-nucleotide ribosomal RNA is filed under the name uncultured bacterium. RNAcentral's name for it is "partial 16S ribosomal RNA". It matches the Rfam family "Bacterial small subunit ribosomal RNA", at positions 524 to 777 of the family's 1533-position model. The record is from RNAcentral.